RNAcentral lists this ribosomal RNA (378 nucleotides) under uncultured bacterium. RNAcentral describes it as "bacterial SSU rRNA". It matches the Rfam family "Bacterial small subunit ribosomal RNA", at positions 30 to 412 of the family's 1533-position model. The record is from RNAcentral.
AUUGAACGCUGGCGGCAUGCCUUACACAUGCAAGUCGAACGGUAGAGUAGCAAUACUUGAGAGUGGCGAACGGGUGAGUAAUAUAUCGGAACGUGCCCAGUCGUGGAGGAGUAACGUAGCGAAAGCUACGCUAAUACCGCAUACGAUCUAUGGAUGAAAGCGGGGGAUCGCAAGACCUCGCGCGAUUGGAGCGGCCGAUAUCAGAUUAGGUAGUUGGUGAGGUAAAGGCUCACCAAGCCGACGAUCUGUAGCUGGUCUGAGAGGACGACCAGCCACACUGGGACUGAGACACGGCCCAGACUCCUACGGGAGGCAGCAGUGGGGAAUUUUGGGACAAUGGGCGCAAGCCUGAUCCAGCAAUGCCGCGUGCAGGAUGAA